Molecule: ribosomal RNA, 611 nt
Filed under: uncultured bacterium
Lineage: Bacteria
Description: bacterial SSU rRNA
Rfam family: Bacterial small subunit ribosomal RNA
Source: RNAcentral
CCUACGGGAGGCAGCAGUAAGGAAUAUUGGACAAUGGUCGCAAGACUGAUCCAGCCAUGCCGCGUGCAGGAUGACAGCCCUAUGGGUCGUAAACUGCUUUUGUGCGAGAAAAAACCCCCUCUACGUGUAGAGGGCUGAUUGUAUCGUAAGAAUAAGGAUCGGCUAACUCCGUGCCAGUAGCCGCGGUAAUACGGAGGAUCCAAGCGUUAUCCGGAUUCAUUGGGUUUAAAGGGUGCGUAGGCGGAAUGAUAAGUCAGUGGUGAAAGCCUGCAGCUUAACUGCAGAACUGCCAUUGAUACUGUCAUUCUUGAGUACAUUUGAUGUGGGCGGAAUGUGUCAUGUAGCGGUGAAAUGCUUAGAUAUGACACAGAACACCGAUUGCGAAGGCAGCUCACAAACUGUAACUGACGCUGAGGCACGAAAGCGUGGGUAUCAAACAGGAUUAGAUACCCUGGUAGUCCACGCUGUAAACUAUGAUUACUCGAUGUUUGCGAUACACUGUAAGCGUCCAAGCGAAAGCGUUAAGUAAUCCACCUGGGAUACGGCUCGCAAGAGUAGAACUUGAAAGAUUGGACGGNGNGAGAGNGCGAGGAGACGACGACGGGAGGAGG